Long non-coding RNA from Oncorhynchus keta (chum salmon), 856 nucleotides. RefSeq lists it as uncharacterized. The transcript is spliced from 3 exons. Lineage: Eukaryota; Metazoa; Chordata; Actinopteri; Salmoniformes; Salmonidae. The record is from RefSeq and is a predicted model, not a curated record.
UGAAUAUUUCAGUUGUUUAUUUUUUAAUACAUUUGCAAAACAUUUUACAAAACCAGUUUUUGCGUUUGUAAUUUUGAGGUAUUGUUUGCAGAUUCAGGGGGGAAAAAACUAUUUCAUAUAUUUUCGAAUAAGGCCGUAACGUAACAAAAUGUGGGGAAAAGUCAAGGGGUCUGAACACUUUCCAAAUGCUCUGUAUAUAUUUAUAGAAACAAUGUGAACAAAUGCUCUGAAUAUAAGGAACGUAACAAUACAUUAUGUAGAUGUAUAUAAUGAACAGACUAGGUCUAUACUGCUCCUACAUGGUGUAACAAUACAUCAUGUAUAUAAUGAACAGACUAGGUCUAUACUGCUCCUACAUGGUGUAACAUCAUGUAGAUGUAUAUAAUGAACAGACUAGGUCUAUACUGCUCCUACAUGGUGUAACAUCAUGUAGAUGUAUAUAAUGAACAGACUAGGUCUAUACUGCUCCUACAUGGUGUAACAAUACAUCAUGUAGAUGUAUAUAAUGAACAGACUAGGUCUAUACUGCUCCUACAUGGUGUAACAAUACAUCAUGUAGAUGUAUAUAAUGAACAGACUAGGUCUAUACUGCUCCUACAUGGUGUAACAUCAUGUAGAUGUAUAUAAUGAACAGACUAGGUCUAUACUGCUCCUACAUGGUGUAACAAUACAUCAUGUAGAUGUAUAUAAUGAACAGACUAGGUCUAUACUGCUCCUACAUGGUGUAACAAUACAUCAUGUAUAUAAUGAACAGACUAGGUCUAUACUGCUCCUACAUGGUGUAACAAUACAUCAUGUAUAUAAUGAACAGACUAGGUCUAUACUGCUCCUACAUGGUGUAACAAUACAUCAUGUA